GACGAACGCUGGCGGCGUGCUUAACACAUGCAAGUCGAACGGAAAGGCCCUGCUUUUGUGGGGUGCUCGAGUGGCGAACGGGGGAGUAACACGUGAGUAACCUGCCCUUGACUUUGGGAUAACUUCAGGAAAGUGGGGCUAAUACCGGAUAGGAGCUCCUGCUGCAUGGUGGGGGUUGGAAAGUUUCGGCGGUUGGGGAUGGACUCGCGGCUUAUCAGCUUGUUGGUGGGGUAGUGGCUUACCAAGGCUUUGACGGGUAGCCGGCCUGAGAGGGUGACCGGCCACCUUGGGCCUGCGAUACGGCCCAGACUCCUACGGUAGGCAGCAGUGGGGAAUCUUGCACAAUGGGAGGAAGCCUGAUGCAGCAACGCCGCGUGCGGGAUGACGGCCUUCGGGUUGUAAACCGCUUUCGCCUGUGACGAAGCGUGAGUGACGGUAAUGGGUAAAGAAGCACCGGCUAACUACGUG
This 468-nucleotide ribosomal RNA is filed under the name uncultured bacterium. Its description in RNAcentral is "partial 16S ribosomal RNA". It matches the Rfam family "Bacterial small subunit ribosomal RNA", at positions 28 to 507 of the family's 1533-position model. The record is from RNAcentral.